Molecule: non-coding RNA, 29 nt
Filed under: Rattus norvegicus (Norway rat)
Lineage: Eukaryota; Metazoa; Chordata; Mammalia; Rodentia; Muridae
Source: RNAcentral
UGCCCAGGAGAGUUUUCUUGCUUGAUUGA